UAUUUUUUAUUAUUGGUAUUUUUGUUUGUUAUCUUUGUUUUUUUAUUUGGAGUUUUGUGAACC
Molecule: transfer RNA, 63 nt
Filed under: Chattonella subsalsa
Lineage: Eukaryota; Raphidophyceae; Chattonellales; Chattonellaceae
Source: RNAcentral